RNAcentral lists this ribosomal RNA (253 nucleotides) under uncultured bacterium. Its description in RNAcentral is "partial 16S ribosomal RNA". It matches the Rfam family "Bacterial small subunit ribosomal RNA", at positions 524 to 776 of the family's 1533-position model. The record is from RNAcentral.
GACAGAGGGGGCAAGCGUUGCUCGGAAUUACUGGGCGUAAAGGGCGCGUAGGCGGGCUGGCAAGUCGGUCGUGAAAUCCCUCGGCUCAACUGAGGAUCGUCGAUCGAUACUGCCGUUCUUGAGGAUUGCAGAGGAGACUGGAAUUCCCGGUGUAGCGGUGAAAUGUGUAGAGAUCGGGAGGAACACCGGUGGCGAAGGCGGGUCUCUGGGCAAUUCCUGACGCUGAGGCGCGAAAGCGAGGGGAGCAAACGGG